AAAAACCUUGCCCUCCUUACGGGGGAGACAGUCAUGAGACGUGAGUAUAAGACCUGAGUGUAAAGACCUUAGGGUGAAGCAAUUGGAGGGCAAGCUUUGGUGCCAGCAGCCGCGGUAACUCCAACUCCAAGAGUGUCUAUGGUGGAUGCUGCAGUUAAAGGGUCCGUAGUCGUGAAUGCAAUUAAAUGUCGUUGUUCAAUAGCGAUGAGUUUGCUAAUGUUUGCGGAACGGAUAGGGAGUGUAGUAUAGACUGGCGAAGAAUGAAAUCUCAAGACCCAGUUUGGACUAACGGAGGCGAAGGCGACACUCUUAGACGUAUCUUAGGAUCAAGGACGAAGGCAGGAGUAUCGAAAGUGAUUAGACACCGCUGUAGUUCCUGCAGUAAACUAUGCCGACAGCCUGUGUGUGAGAAUACGUGGGCGGGAGAAAUCUUAGCGUUCGGGCUCUGGGGAUAGUACGCUCGCAAGGGUGAAACUUAAAGCGAAAUUGACGGAAGGACACUACCAGGAGUGGAUUGUGCUGCUUAAUUUAACUCAACGCGGGAAAACUUACCAGGGUCAAGUCAUUCGUUGAUCGAAUACGUGAGAAUGGCAGGAGGGUGUAGGGG
RNAcentral lists this ribosomal RNA (607 nucleotides) under Enterocytozoon bieneusi. RNAcentral describes it as "SSU rRNA". It matches the Rfam family "Microsporidia small subunit ribosomal RNA", at positions 293 to 909 of the family's 1311-position model. Lineage: Eukaryota; Fungi; Microsporidia; Enterocytozoonidae. The record is from RNAcentral.